UACGAGGGGGGCGAGCGUUUGUUCGGAAUUAUUGGGCGUAAAGGGUGCGUAGGCGGUUUGGUAAGUCUUAUGUGAAAUCUAUGGGCUCAACUCAUAGUCUGCAUGAGAAACUGCCGGGCUUGAGUAUGGGAGAGGUGAGUGGAAUUCCUGGUGUAGCGGUGAAAUGCGUAGAUAUCAGGAGGAAUACCUGUGGCGAAAGCGGCUCACUGGACCAUAACUGACGCUGAUACACGAAAGCUAGGGGAGCAAACAGG
This 254-nucleotide ribosomal RNA is filed under the name uncultured bacterium. RNAcentral describes it as "partial 16S ribosomal RNA". It matches the Rfam family "Bacterial small subunit ribosomal RNA", at positions 524 to 776 of the family's 1533-position model. The record is from RNAcentral.